GUCCACGCCGUAAACGAUGAGAACUAGACGUCGGAGGGGUCUGCUCUUCGGUGUCGCAGCUAACGCGAUAAGUUCUCCGCCUGGGGAGUACGGCCGCAAGGUUGAAACUCAAAGGAAUUGACGGGGCCCGCACAAGCGGUGGAGCAUGUGGUUUAAUUCGAUGCAACGCGAAGAACCUUACCUGGUCUUGACAUCCUCGGAACCUCGCAGAGAUGUGGGGGUGGCCUUCGGGAACCGAGAGACAGGUGCUGCAUGGCUGUCGU
This 263-nucleotide ribosomal RNA is filed under the name uncultured bacterium. Its description in RNAcentral is "partial 16S ribosomal RNA". It matches the Rfam family "Bacterial small subunit ribosomal RNA", at positions 793 to 1055 of the family's 1533-position model. The record is from RNAcentral.